UACGGAGGGUGCAAGCGUUAUCCGGAUUCACUGGGUUUAAAGGGUGCGUAGGUGGGCUAGUAAGUCCGUGGUGAAAUCUCCAAGCUUAACUUGGAAACUGCCGUGGAUACUAUUAGUCUUGAAUAUUGUGGAGGUAAGCGGAAUAUGUCAUGUAGCGGUGAAAUGCUUAGAUAUGACAUAGAACACCGAUAGCGAAGGCAGCUUGCUACACAAUCAUUGACACUGAGGCACGAAAGCGUGGGGAUCAAACGGG
RNAcentral lists this ribosomal RNA (253 nucleotides) under uncultured bacterium. RNAcentral describes it as "partial 16S ribosomal RNA". It matches the Rfam family "Bacterial small subunit ribosomal RNA", at positions 524 to 776 of the family's 1533-position model. The record is from RNAcentral.